RNAcentral lists this ribosomal RNA (1572 nucleotides) under Escherichia coli LAU-EC10. RNAcentral's name for it is "bacterial LSU rRNA". It matches the Rfam family "Bacterial large subunit ribosomal RNA", at positions 593 to 2149 of the family's 2925-position model. The record is from RNAcentral. Lineage: Bacteria; Pseudomonadati; Pseudomonadota; Gammaproteobacteria; Enterobacterales; Enterobacteriaceae.
GUGACUGCGUACCUUUUGUAUAAUGGGUCAGCGACUUAUAUUCUGUAGCAAGGUUAACCGAAUAGGGGAGCCGAAGGGAAACCGAGUCUUAACUGGGCGUUAAGUUGCAGGGUAUAGACCCGAAACCCGGUGAUCUAGCCAUGGGCAGGUUGAAGGUUGGGUAACACUAACUGGAGGACCGAACCGACUAAUGUUGAAAAAUUAGCGGAUGACUUGUGGCUGGGGGUGAAAGGCCAAUCAAACCGGGAGAUAGCUGGUUCUCCCCGAAAGCUAUUUAGGUAGCGCCUCGUGAAUUCAUCUCCGGGGGUAGAGCACUGUUUCGGCAAGGGGGUCAUCCCGACUUACCAACCCGAUGCAAACUGCGAAUACCGGAGAAUGUUAUCACGGGAGACACACGGCGGGUGCUAACGUCCGUCGUGAAGAGGGAAACAACCCAGACCGCCAGCUAAGGUCCCAAAGUCAUGGUUAAGUGGGAAACGAUGUGGGAAGGCCCAGACAGCCAGGAUGUUGGCUUAGAAGCAGCCAUCAUUUAAAGAAAGCGUAAUAGCUCACUGGUCGAGUCGGCCUGCGCGGAAGAUGUAACGGGGCUAAACCAUGCACCGAAGCUGCGGCAGCGACACUAUGUGUUGUUGGGUAGGGGAGCGUUCUGUAAGCCUGUGAAGGUGUACUGUGAGGUAUGCUGGAGGUAUCAGAAGUGCGAAUGCUGACAUAAGUAACGAUAAAGCGGGUGAAAAGCCCGCUCGCCGGAAGACCAAGGGUUCCUGUCCAACGUUAAUCGGGGCAGGGUGAGUCGACCCCUAAGGCGAGGCCGAAAGGCGUAGUCGAUGGGAAACAGGUUAAUAUUCCUGUACUUGGUGUUACUGCGAAGGGGGGACGGAGAAGGCUAUGUUGGCCGGGCGACGGUUGUCCCGGUUUAAGCGUGUAGGCUGGUUUUCCAGGCAAAUCCGGAAAAUCAAGGCUGAGGCGUGAUGACGAGGCACUACGGUGCUGAAGCAACAAAUGCCCUGCUUCCAGGAAAAGCCUCUAAGCAUCAGGUAACAUCAAAUCGUACCCCAAACCGACACAGGUGGUCAGGUAGAGAAUACCAAGGCGCUUGAGAGAACUCGGGUGAAGGAACUAGGCAAAAUGGUGCCGUAACUUCGGGAGAAGGCACGCUGAUAUGUAGGUGAAGCGACUUGCUCGUGGAGCUGAAAUCAGUCGAAGAUACCAGCUGGCUGCAACUGUUUAUUAAAAACACAGCACUGUGCAAACACGAAAGUGGACGUAUACGGUGUGACGCCUGCCCGGUGCCGGAAGGUUAAUUGAUGGGGUUAGCGGUAACGCGAAGCUCUUGAUCGAAGCCCCGGUAAACGGCGGCCGUAACUAUAACGGUCCUAAGGUAGCGAAAUUCCUUGUCGGGUAAGUUCCGACCUGCACGAAUGGCGUAAUGAUGGCCAGGCUGUCUCCACCCGAGACUCAGUGAAAUUGAACUCGCUGUGAAGAUGCAGUGUACCCGCGGCAAGACGGAAAGACCCCGUGAACCUUUACUAUAGCUUGACACUGAACAUUGAGCCUUGAUGUGUAGGAUAGGUG